GCUCCUGAUCCCGAUAGCAGCAUCAGCCGGCGGGUCUCGCUCCAGUUUUUGCAUCCAUUCCAUCUCCUUCCUGGGGCUCAGAAUCAGAGGACUCCCUUCCUUCUGCCUCUUUAUACAUUACCCUCUUGCGGCACAGGGCCCACACUCCUUGACGAUGCUAAUAUCUGAGGAUGUAGCUGUGUAUCUCUCCCAGGAGUAAUGGCAACAACGGAUCGCUAUUUAAAGAGAACUCUACAGGGAUGUUAUGCAGGAGAAUUAGUAAAACCUGCUGUGUUUGGGUGAGGUGGUAUCUUCCUCUGACUUCAUCACUCAGAUGGAGAAAGGCAAAGGAACAUGGAAUUGGGAAGGUGCCAAGAAACCAAAAGAUCCCAAGGGACUGCCCAGCUGGAACAGAACAUGGGAGACCAGCUGAAGACUGGAGAAAAAUGAGAAGGGUUAUCAGCUGAAAUGUCUCAUGUAUGAGUACUCUCAAGGGAUGUGCACAGGAAGGUCUUAAGAGGAGAAGAAAGUUCCUGGAUUUUUGGAAGAACCCAUGUGAGUCAGUGCAUUUCAGAAAAGCAGCAGGGGAGUCUUAGGGAACAGGCAGAAAAGAUCCAUUCCCAAGAUAAGGGAUCUGGGGAACCUCAUUUUAAUCGACCCUAAAACUAGACCAAGUUUUGAG
RNAcentral lists this long non-coding RNA (661 nucleotides) under Phascolarctos cinereus (koala). RNAcentral describes it as "lncRNA (ENSPCIG00000013119.2)". Lineage: Eukaryota; Metazoa; Chordata; Mammalia; Diprotodontia; Phascolarctidae. The record is from RNAcentral.